GUUUAUUGCUAACAUUUGUAAUUUCACUCAUUAACCAAAUCAGUGACUCUGUUGUCUCUCCAUUUCUGACGACUACACCAUUUGUUUUCUUUUAAAAAUCUUUCUAUGUUUGUUCACUUGUUGAGAAGGUAUGCGUUGUAAAGGCACGUCUGUGUUUUUUUCUUUCUAAAAAUAAAAAUCGCAAAUCGCAAAUUAUUAUAAGGCUAUAUAAUAUAAGAUUAGGUCACAUAACCAAGAUUAUUAUAUCGC
Molecule: long non-coding RNA, 249 nt
Filed under: Brassica napus (rape)
Lineage: Eukaryota; Viridiplantae; Streptophyta; Magnoliopsida; Brassicales; Brassicaceae
Description: long non-coding RNA (BNAP_LNC008181)
Source: RNAcentral